RNAcentral lists this ribosomal RNA (155 nucleotides) under bacterium enrichment culture. RNAcentral describes it as "partial 16S ribosomal RNA". It matches the Rfam family "Bacterial small subunit ribosomal RNA", at positions 355 to 507 of the family's 1533-position model. The record is from RNAcentral.
UGAGGAAUAUUGGUCAAUGGGUGCAAGCCUGAACCAGCCAUCCCGCGUGAAGGAUUAAGGUCCUAUGGAUUGUAAACUUCUUUUGUAUAGGGAUAAACCUACCCUCGUGAGGGUAGCUGAAGGUACUAUACGAAUAAGCACCGGCUAACUCCGUG